AACAUUCAACGCUGUCGGUGAGUUUUGUCAGUGCGCUCAAACCAUCGACUGUUGAGUGUACC
Molecule: microRNA precursor, 62 nt
Filed under: Gekko japonicus
Lineage: Eukaryota; Metazoa; Chordata; Lepidosauria; Squamata; Gekkonidae
Description: Gja-Mir-181-P1c_pre stem-loop
Rfam family: mir-181 microRNA precursor family
About the family: In this case the mature sequence comes from the 5' arm of the precursor.
Source: RNAcentral